RNAcentral lists this non-coding RNA (778 nucleotides) under Hesperus amabilis. Lineage: Eukaryota; Metazoa; Arthropoda; Insecta; Coleoptera; Staphylinidae. The record is from RNAcentral.
AAAAGUUUUAUUUUGGCUUUAGAUAUUAGUAUAUAGAUUUAUUAAAUGUGAAUUUUAGUGUUUUUUUAUAAAAAUUUAAAUAGUUUUUAUUAUUGUUUUAUUCGCAGUAUUAAAUAUUAAAAAUUAAUAAAAAUUAGAUUUAGAAAUUUAUUUAAAUGAUAACUAAAUUUGUGCCAGCAGUUGCGGUUAUUCAUGUAUCAUAACUAAUAUUGUUUAGUUUGUAGUUAAAAGUUAAUUGUAAUUAUAAUUGAAAAUUUAUAAGGUGAAAUUUUUAAAUUUAAAUAAUUUUAAUUUUUUAUUUUGAGGCUAUUAAAUUUAAUUUUAAACUAGGAUUAGAUACCCUAUUAUUAUAAAUGUAAAAUUUAAAACUUAAUUAUUAAUAGUUAUAGUCUUUAAAGUUAAAAAAUUUGGCGGUAUUUUAGUCUAUUUAGAGGAACCUGUCCUAUAAUUGAUAAUCCACGAUUUAUUUUACUUACUUUAAUUAGUUUGUAUAUCGUCGUAGAUUGAAUAUUUUAUGAGAAAAUAAAUAUUCAAGAUUCUAGAUUAAGAAAAAAAUCAGAUCAAGGUGCAGCUUAUAAGUAAGAAGAGAUGGGUUACAAUAAAAUAAUUUAUAUGGUUUAAUUAUUUAAAAUGAUUAUUAAAGUGGAUUUAAAAGUAAUGAAAUUGAAUUAAAUUUUAUGAUUUUAGCUCUAAAAUAUGCACAUAUCGCCCGUCGCUCUCAUUUAAAGUGAGAUAAGUCGUAACAAAGUAGAUGUACUGGAAAGUGUAUCUAGUCUGA